RNAcentral lists this ribosomal RNA (465 nucleotides) under Vreelandella stevensii. RNAcentral's name for it is "partial 16S ribosomal RNA". It matches the Rfam family "Bacterial small subunit ribosomal RNA", at positions 338 to 795 of the family's 1533-position model. Lineage: Bacteria; Pseudomonadati; Pseudomonadota; Gammaproteobacteria; Oceanospirillales; Halomonadaceae. The record is from RNAcentral.
CCUACUGGAGGCAGCAGUGGGGAAUAUUGGACAAUGGGGGGAACCCUGAUCCAGCCAUGCCGCGUGUGUGAAGAAGGCCCUCGGGUUGUAAAGCACUUUCAGUGAGGAAGAACGCCUGGUGGUUAAUACCCAUCAGGAAAGACAUCACUCACAGAAGAAGCACCGGCUAACUCCGUGCCAGCAGCCGCGGUAAUACGGAGGGUGCGAGCGUUAAUCGGAAUUACUGGGCGUAAAGCGCGCGUAGGUGGCUUGAUAAGCCGGUUGUGAAAGCCCCGGGCUCAACCUGGGAACGGCAUCCGGAACUGUCAAGCUAGAGUGCAGGAGAGGAAGGUAGAAUUCCCGGUGUAGCGGUGAAAUGCGUAGAGAUCGGGAGGAAUACCAGUGGCGAAGGCGGCCUUCUGGACUGACACUGACACUGAGGUGCGAAAGCGUGGGUAGCAAACAGGAUUAGAUACCCCUGUAGUC